AACGAACGCUGGCGGCAUGCCUAACACAUGCAAGUCGAACGAUACCUUCGGGUCUAGUGGCGCACGGUUGCGUAACGCGUGGUAACCUGCCCUUAGGUUCGGAAUAACGCCCCGAAAGGGGUGCUAAUACCGGAUAAUGUCUUCGGACCAAAGAUUUAUCGCCUUGGGAUGGGCCCGCGUUGGAUUAGCUAGUUGGUAGGGUAAAAGCCUACCAAGGCGACGAUCCAUAGCUGGUCUGAGAGGAUGAUCAGCCACACUGGGACUGAGACACGGCCCAGACUCCUACGGGAGGCAGCAGUGGGGAAUAUUGGACAAUGGGCGAAAGGCUGAUCCAGCAAUGCCGCGUGAGUGAUGAAGGACUUAGGGUUGUAAAGCUCUCUUACCCGGGAUGAUAAUGACAGUACCGGGAGAAUAAGCACCGGCUAACUCCGUG
RNAcentral lists this ribosomal RNA (433 nucleotides) under uncultured bacterium. RNAcentral describes it as "partial 16S ribosomal RNA". It matches the Rfam family "Bacterial small subunit ribosomal RNA", at positions 29 to 507 of the family's 1533-position model. The record is from RNAcentral.